GGGAGGCUGGGACAGAGACAGAGGGAAAGAUCACUAGAUCCCCACCCGGGCCAGCAUCACCGGUAAACAUGACCAGGGUCAAUAUGAUUACAGCCUCAACUCUUCAGGAAGUGUCGCCGCCCUACCUAUGAAAUACAGGCAAUGCAUGCUCCUCCUACAUGGGCACAGUGCUUCAUGAAGCACAGAGAGCUCCGGGCAAGAACCUUGAUCACGUACAGGAGACUCAGUCCCCACAUCACCAGGUCUGGAAACGGUUACUACGCUUCAACCAUCCGAUUCCUGCUUCAGCGUGGACAACAUCACUCACCUCAACACUGAGCCGAGCACGGAACACAACCGACAGACUCACUUUCAAGGACCUUACCACUCGUGUUAUUUGAUUGUUAGUUCGUUAUUAAUUAUUAGUUUUCUGUAUUUGCAUGGUUUGGCCCUCUUUGUAACUUUUCAUUGAUUCUAUUGUAUUUCGUUGUUCUACUUAA
Hypanus sabinus (Atlantic stingray) is the source of this 479-nucleotide long non-coding RNA. RefSeq lists it as uncharacterized. Lineage: Eukaryota; Metazoa; Chordata; Chondrichthyes; Myliobatiformes; Dasyatidae. The transcript has 3 exons. The record is from RefSeq and is a predicted model, not a curated record.